AUGUUUAAUCGAAUAAAAAGCAUAUUUAUUCCAAAAGAGAAAAAUCUGACAAUAACAACCUAUAUCACAAAUAUGUAAAAUUAUCAGUACCGCACUAACCUCAUAUUAGGGAACAAAUUAUCAAUCACGUGCUGUAGUGGAGAACUGUUUACACAGGAACACAAUUUAGUGCAUACAAAUCAUAUAUUUUGCAGUGUGAGCAGACGCGACGCAACACUAUGUAUACUGAAAGUUUACCGCUUUAUUUAACCGGUUUAGUGGUAAAAGGUUUUGGCAGAGGAUCUAAAGCUUUAGGCAUUCCAACAGCGAAUCUGGAAGAGAAGGUUGUUGAAGCUUUACCU
Megalopta genalis is the source of this 341-nucleotide non-coding RNA. The record is from RefSeq and is a predicted model, not a curated record. Lineage: Eukaryota; Metazoa; Arthropoda; Insecta; Hymenoptera; Halictidae.